UACGUAGGGUGCAAGCGUUAAUCGGAAUUACUGGGCGUAAAGCGCGCGCAGGCGGUCUUCCAAGUCAGUGGUGAAAGCCCGGAGCUCAACUCCGGAACUGCCAUUGAAACUGUUAGACUUGAGGACGAGAGAGGUGAGUGGAAUUCCCAGUGUAGAGGUGAAAUUCGUAGAUAUUGGGAAGAACACCGGUGGCGAAGGCGGCUCACUGGCUCGUUUCUGACGCUCAGGCGCGACAGCGUGGGGAUCAAACAGG
RNAcentral lists this ribosomal RNA (253 nucleotides) under uncultured bacterium. Its description in RNAcentral is "partial 16S ribosomal RNA". It matches the Rfam family "Bacterial small subunit ribosomal RNA", at positions 524 to 776 of the family's 1533-position model. The record is from RNAcentral.